Long non-coding RNA from Phacochoerus africanus (Common warthog), 1596 nucleotides. RefSeq lists it as uncharacterized. NCBI's taxonomy places the organism in Eukaryota, Metazoa, Chordata, Mammalia, Artiodactyla, Suidae. The transcript has 3 exons. The record is from RefSeq and is a predicted model, not a curated record.
UCUCUCCUCCCAUCCACCCCCACCUCCCCUCCGCCAGCCGCGUCCUCCCGGGCUCGGCGAGGAACUGUUCCUGAAGGAGCCGCGGGACGCCGAAACCAGCCAAUGGAAAGCGGCGAGACGCGGAGAUUGGCACCCGGGAUGGGAAGGUCGGAGAGAAGGAGAGCGGCGGGGCCGGGCUGUCAGUCAAAGAAUAUUGAUCUCAGCGUUACUUUGACCAUUAAUGAAUUAUGAUGGCAAUAAGCAGAGACACACACCUCCAGCCUCCUGGGAGCUUAAUCUUCUGCUACAACGUUAGCAUUUGAGGUCCCGAUGAAGAAUACGGAACUGAUAAACUGCCGCCGAAACCAACCAGAAGAAUUCAGGAGGGGCCAAAAAGAGGGAGAUGCCAGCUUCCUGCCAGCCUCCCAGAAACCCUCAUGCUGGAACCCAGCUUGUCUGAGAGAUGCGCGUGCAACCAGUGAGGGCCCCGAGUUGGAUCAGAUAUGGGCACGAGCAAGAUGAUUGGUCAGAGACAACCCGGAAACCCACCCCCACCUCCAUAAAACCUGAGACCGCGAGGCACGAGCCAGAGCAAUUCUCAUGCGUUGCAUUACUCUGCUGCUCUCACUCCAGUGCCCCUUUCCAGUAAACUCUUCUCUUUUGUCAAUACGUGUGUUUCCUUGCACAAUUCAUCUCUGAGUGUUAGACGAGAGCUCACGCUAAAGCUCUGGAAGGAAUUCCCUCCAGGAACAUAAACAAGUUCAGGCUAUCCUAGGCUGUCCUGCUAGGUUGGCCCUGGUGGAUGAGAGGUCACAUGGAGGAGCAUCCAGCCAGCCCUGAGGAGAGGCACAUGUAAGUAAGCUCCUCCCUGGAGCUGAACCUUGAAGUGACUUUGGCUCCUGGGGACACCUUGAUCAGUAGUCUUGUGACCUUGAGCUAGUACCACCCAGUUAAACCUCUUCUCGAUGCCUCAGCCACAGAAACUAUGAGGUAAUAAGUUGCUAAGUAAUUUGUUGUGCAGAAAUAGAGAACUCAAAUGCAGGACUGGCAUGUUUUUGUAUUCUCCAAAGCACGUAAUUGGAUGCUUUGUUCAUAAAGGAGUUUAUUAUAUGACUGUUGGAAUUGGAGGAAUGUUGCCUUGAGAAAUUUUCAAGAGUAGUUAAUUUCUAGGUUUGUACCGGAUGUAUUCACUGUAGAUUCUGGGGAAAAUAUGUCUUAAUAAGUUAUUGGAAAAAAACAAAAAGGUUGGGGGUUGGAGUGGGGGUUAACAUAUGAUAAGUCUGAGGAAAACAUAGGCUUCCAGACAUUUUGAGUUUUCCUGCAGUUGUGGUUUUCUAACUUGAUGAAAUGAGACUUUUAAAUAAAUAGCCAUUUGAGGAGGAUCGAGGCCCAGCAACCCAAAUAUCUGCAGUACAAUAAAGCCUCAAAGUACCACAAUGCGAGCCAGAGGCCACUAUUUGAGAAUCAAGUGCAGCAGGGAAGAGUAUGAGUUUGCAUUUAGCUGUGACAAGUAUCCAAAGGACUCUGCCUCACACCUAUUCUUUCCUCCACUCCAUACCUUUUCUUCAACAUCCUGACAUUUAUAUUUUUUUCCUUUCUCGGAGUUCCCGUCGUGGC